This 1972-nucleotide ribosomal RNA is filed under the name Gammaproteobacteria bacterium. RNAcentral's name for it is "partial 23S ribosomal RNA". It matches the Rfam family "Bacterial large subunit ribosomal RNA", at positions 982 to 2925 of the family's 2925-position model. The record is from RNAcentral. Lineage: Bacteria; Pseudomonadati; Pseudomonadota; Gammaproteobacteria.
AGACAGACGGCGGGUGCUAAGGUCCGUCGUCGAAAGGGAAACAGCCCAGACCGCCAGCUAAGGUCCCUAAACCAUGAUUAAGUGGGAAACGAUGUGGGAAGGCCUAGACACCCAGGAGGUUGGCUUGGAAGCAGCCAUCCUUUAAAGAAAGCGUAACAGCUCACUGGUCAAGUCGGCCCGCGCGGAAGAUGUACCGGGUCUCAAAUCAUGUACCGAAGCUGCGGGCUUGCAACGCAAGUUGUGAGCGGUAGAGGAGCGUUCUGUAAGCCGUUGAAGGCACAUCGCGAGGUGUGUUGGAGGUAUCAGAAGUGAGAAUGCUGACAUAAGUAACGAUAAAGGGGGUUAGAAUCCCCCUCGCCGAAAGACCAAGGGUUCCUGUGCAACGUUCAUCGACGCAGGGUGAGUCGGCCCCUAAGGCCAGGCCGAAAGGCGUAGCUGAUGGGUAGCUGGUUAAUAUUCCAGCACCGAUAUUUGUUGCGAUGGGGUAACGGAGAAGGCUGGGCGAUCCUACUGUUGGUUAUGUAGGUUUAAGCCGGUAGGCUGAGAUUUUAGGAAAAUCCGGAGUCUCUUAAAGCCGAGAAGUGAUGACGAACGGAUGAAUUUCCGUGAAGUCGCCGAUGCCACGCUUCCAAGAAAAACCUCUAAGCUUCAGGCAAAUAUUGACCGUACCCUAAACCGACACAGGUGGUCGGGUAGAGAAUACUAAGGCGCUUGAGAGAACUCGGGUGAAGGAACUAGGCAAAUUGGCACCGUAACUUCGGGAGAAGGUGCGCCGCUACUGGUGAGAGGACUUGCUCCUUGAGCUGAUGGCGGCCGAAGUGACCAGGUAGCUGCGACUGUUUACUAAAAACACAGCACUCUGCAAACUCGUAAGAGGACGUAUAGGGUGUGACGCCUGCCCGGUGCCGGAAGGUUAAUUGAUGGGGUUAGCUUCGGCGAAGCUCCUGAUCGAAGCCCCGGUAAACGGCGGCCGUAACUAUAACGGUCCUAAGGUAGCGAAAUUCCUUGUCGGGUAAGUUCCGACCUGCACGAAUGGCGUAACGAUGGCCACACUGUCUCCACCUGAGACUCAGUGAAAUUGAAAUCGCGGUGAAGAUGCCGUGUUCCCGCGGCUAGACGGAAAGACCCCGUGAACCUUUACUACAGCUUCACACUGGAUUUUGAUUUGGUUUGUGUAGCAUAGGUGGGAGACUUUGAAGCGUAGGCGCUAGCUUGCGUGGAGUCAUCGUUGAAAUACCACCCUUGCCACGUUGGGAUCCUAACUCAGGCCCAAAAUCAGGGUCGAGAACAGUGUGUGGUGGGUAGUUUGACUGGGGCGGUCUCCUCCCAAAGAGUAACGGAGGAGCACGAAGGUGCACUCAGCAUGGUCGGAAAUCAUGCGGUGCGUGCAAAGGCAGAAGUGCGCUUGACUGCGAGACCGACGGGUCGAGCAGGGUCGAAAGACGGUCUUAGUGAUCUUGUGGUUCUGAAUGGAAGGGCCAUGACUCAACGGAUAAAAGGUACUCCGGGGAUAACAGGCUGAUACCGCCCAAGAGUUCACAUCGACGGCGGUGUUUGGCACCUCGAUGUCGGCUCAUCACAUCCUGGGGCUGAAGCGGGUCCCAAGGGUAUGGCUGUUCGCCAUUUAAAGUGGUACGCGAGCUGGGUUUAGAACGUCGUGAGACAGUUCGGUCCCUAUCUGCCGUGGGCGUUUGAGAAUUGCGAGGAGCUACUCCUAGUACGAGAGGACCGGAGUGGACGAACCUCUGGUGUUCCGGUUGUUACGCCAGUAGCAUUGCCGGGUAGCUAAGUUCGGACGGGAUAACCGCUGAAAGCAUCUAAGCGGGAAGCCUCCCUCAAGAUAAGUUCUCACAAAUCUUUAAGAUUUCUGAAGGGCCCUCGUAGACUACGAGGUUGAUAGGCGGGAUGUGGAAGCGCCGUGAGGCGUUAAGCUAACCCGUACUAAUUGCCCGUGCGACUUGACCAUAUAACC